AUUGAACGCUGGCGGCAGGCCUAACACAUGCAAGUCGAGCGGAUGAAGGGAGCUUGCUCCUGGAUUCAGCGGCGGACGGGUGAGUAAUGCCUAGGAAUCUGCCUGGUAGUGGGGGAUAACGUCCGGAAACGGGCGCUAAUACCGCAUACGUCCUGAGGGAGAAAGUGGGGGAUCUUCGGACCUCACGCUAUCAGAUGAGCCUAGGUCGGAUUAGCUAGUUGGUGGGGUAAAGGCCUACCAAGGCGACGAUCCGUAACUGGUCUGAGAGGAUGAUCAGUCACACUGGAACUGAGACACGGUCCAGACUCCUACGGGAGGCAGCAGUGGGGAAUAUUGGACAAUGGGCGAAAGCCUGAUCCAGCCAUGCCGCGUGUGUGAAGAAGGUCUUCGGAUUGUAAAGCACUUUAAGUUGGGAGGAAGGGCAGUAAGUAAAUACCUUGCUGUUUUGACGUUACCAACAGAAUAAGCACCGGCUAACUUCGUG
RNAcentral lists this ribosomal RNA (484 nucleotides) under uncultured bacterium. RNAcentral describes it as "partial 16S ribosomal RNA". It matches the Rfam family "Bacterial small subunit ribosomal RNA", at positions 30 to 507 of the family's 1533-position model. The record is from RNAcentral.